GCGGACGGGUGAGUAAUACUUAGGAAUCUGCCUAUUAGUGGGGGACAACAUCUCGAAAGGGAUGCUAAUACCGCAUACGUCCUACGGGAGAAAGCAGGGGAUCUUUAUGACCUUGCGCUAAUAGAUGAGCCUAAGUCGGAUUAGCUAGUUGGUGGGGUAAAGGCCUACCAAGGCGACGAUCUGUAGCGGGUCUGAGAGGAUGAUCCGCCACACUGGGACUGAGACACGGCCCAGACUCCUACGGGAGGCAGCAGUGGGGAAUAUUGGACAAUGGGGGGAACCCUGAUCCAGCCAUGCCGCGUGUGUGAAGAAGGCCUUAUGGUUGUAAAGCACUUUAAGCGAGGAGGAGGCUUACCUGGUUAAUACCCAGGAUAAGUGGACGUUACUCGCAGAAUAAGCACCGGCUAACUCUGUGCCAGCAGCCGCGGUAAUACAGAGGGUGCAAGCGUUAAUCGGAUUUACUGGGCGUAAAGCGCGCGUAGGCGGCCAAUUAAGUCAAAUGUGAAAUCCCCGAGCUUAACUUGGGAAUUGCAUUCGAUACUGAUUGGCUAGAGUGUGGGAGAGGAUGGUAGAAUUCCAGGUGUAGCGGUGAAAUGCGUAGAGAUCUGGAGGAAUACCGAUGGCGAAGGC
This 630-nucleotide ribosomal RNA is filed under the name Acinetobacter sp. EECC-556. RNAcentral's name for it is "bacterial SSU rRNA". It matches the Rfam family "Bacterial small subunit ribosomal RNA", at positions 98 to 722 of the family's 1533-position model. The record is from RNAcentral. Lineage: Bacteria; Pseudomonadati; Pseudomonadota; Gammaproteobacteria; Moraxellales; Moraxellaceae.